Molecule: ribosomal RNA, 251 nt
Filed under: uncultured bacterium
Lineage: Bacteria
Description: partial 16S ribosomal RNA
Rfam family: Archaeal small subunit ribosomal RNA
Source: RNAcentral
ACACCGGCGGCCCGAGUGGUGAUCGUGAUUAUUGGGUCUGAAGGGUCCGUAGCCGGUUUGGUCAGUCCUCCGGGAAAUCUGACAGCUCAACUGUUGGAAAACUUUCGGGGGAUACUGCCAGACUUGGAACCGGGAGAGGUAAGAGGUACUACAGGGGUAGGAGUGAAAUCUUGUAAUCCCUGUGGGACCACCUGUGGCGAAGGCGUCUUACCAGAACGGGUUCGACGGUGAGGGACGAAAGCUGGGGGCAC